AUUGAACGCUGGCGGCAGGCCUAACACAUGCAAGUCGAACGAGUGGCGGACGGGUGAGUAAUGUCUGGGAAACUGCCCGAUGGAGGGGGAUAACUCCUGGAAACGGUAGCUAAUACCGCAUACCAUCGGAUGUGCCCAGAUGGGAUUAGCUAGUAGGUGGGGUAACGGCUCACCUAGGCGACGAUCCCUAGCUGGUCUGAGAGGAUGACACCCCCCACUGGAACUGAGACACUGUCCAGACUCCUCCACCACCACUCCUUUUCUAAUAUUGCACAAUGUGCGCAAGCCUGAGCCAGCCAUGCCGCGUGUAUGAAGAACACCUUCGGGUUUUAAAGUACUUUCAGCGAGGAGGCGUUACUCGCAGAAGAAGCACCGGCUAACUCCGUGCCAGCAGCCGCGGUAAUAC
Molecule: ribosomal RNA, 406 nt
Filed under: uncultured bacterium
Lineage: Bacteria
Description: partial 16S ribosomal RNA
Rfam family: Bacterial small subunit ribosomal RNA
Source: RNAcentral